GAAUGAUGUACCGGAACAAGCAGAAACUGAUCUUAGCAUUAGCUCUCCUCUCUGUAUUUACAGUUUUGAAUUUCACAUUUUAUCAUCAUUAUGGUAAUCAUGGCACAGCAGCAGAUCAGUUCGAGGGUUUUGAUCAUAUCAAUGGGAGCUUAGCAGCAAUAGUUCCAAACACUGUGCAUUACAUUUUGUUCGGGACAGAUUCCUUGAAUUUUAUUUCAUUUCUUUCAAUGACAUCUGUUUUGAAGAUACAAAAUCCCGAUUCAAUCCUCAUUCACACUGACAGGGACCGUCUUCAAGGAUACUACUGGGAUUUGGUUCAAAAUUUAGCGAAGCUCAAAAAAACUCAAAUUCAAUUGGCUCUCAUUGAGAGACCAACACAUGUCUUUGGUCAACCUCUCAGCUCAGUAUAUCAUAUGACAGAUGUGUCACGUAUUCUUGUUUUAAUGAAUUUUGGUGGCAUAUACCUCGACACAGACACAAUAGUCCUCCGGUCCUUGAACCCCCUUUUAAAGUAUGAAAUGGUUGUUGGCUGGCCGCAGAAAGAGAAUAUUGGAACUCAGAUUUUGAUUGCACAUAAAGACGCAAGAUUCUUAAAACAAUGGCUCAAUGGUUACCGACGGUACCAACCAAGAAACUGGUAUUACAAUGCUGGUCAGUUCCCCGCUGAAGUCCUUUCAAAGAAACCUGAGCUGGCUCAUAGAGAAGAUACCCUGUUGGGUGUUCAGAAUUUGAUAGAAAAAUUAUAUGUAGCUGAUGAAUGGAGCAGUUGGAGGAACUUUUACUCUCUUCACUUGCUUAGCCGCCACCAUUCAGAUCCAGACAAGUUGGAUGAGACCUCCGUCAAAUUGUAUAAACACCCUUUUGGUGAAAUAGCAUCAUGGCUCCUAUAUACCGUGGAGCCACCUCUAGUUAUCGAUGGCUUCAAACGCUGGAAAUUUUAAGAUCAUCCGCGCGGAGAAGGUGGGCUGAAACGGAGUAAGAAUGUCUGAUAUUCCUAAUUGGUCAAAGGUAUGUUUCUCUACUUAGCGUGUUUCUCUCCCUUUCUUUCAAUUUUUUUCUUCAUUUUUUCAUUGUAUUUUUUUUUUUAUUUUUUUUUUUUUUUACAUUCAGUGCCAACUGCUUCUUUCAAACCAAUUCAUUUUUCUAUAACUCGUAUUCAAUCCAUUGUUCUAUCCCGGCCGAUUUGCAAACGGACGUAUUUAUGCUAAAAUGAACUGUGCCUCACGCAAACCCUAUGCACAUAGUCCCUUUCAGCAUAAACACGUCCAAAUCUCUUCCAUAUUAUGAGUAAUCGCGUGUGUGUUCUUCCGUCGUAAAGGUUGUUUGGCUCAAAGAACAGAUCCUGAAGGCUAGUAGCCUCAUUUUCAGAUUGUUUCCCUCUUAGAAUUAUUAUGUUCACCAAGAUCGCAUUUGGUAAAAAGGAUCUUAAACCAUCAAAGCAAG
Molecule: long non-coding RNA, 1443 nt
Filed under: Bemisia tabaci
Lineage: Eukaryota; Metazoa; Arthropoda; Insecta; Hemiptera; Aleyrodidae
Description: lncRNA ENSSSA1NGG014616
Source: RNAcentral